GCCAGACUCCUACGGGAGGCAGCAGUGGGGAAUAUUGCACAAUGGGGGAAACCCUGAUGCAGCGACGCCGCGUGAGCGAUGAAGUAUUUCGGUAUGUAAAGCUCUAUCAGCAGGGAAGAAAAUGACGGUACCUGACUAAGGAGCCCCGGCUAACUACGUGCCAGCAGCCGCGGUAAUACGUAGGGGGCAAGCGUUAUCCGGAUUUACUGGGUGUAAAGGGUGCGCAGGUGGCAGGGCAAGUCAGAUGUGAAAGCCCGGGGCUCAACCCCGGUAUUGCAUUUGAAACUGUCCGGCUAGAGUGCAGGAGAGGUAAGCGGAAUUCCUAGUGUAGCGGUGAAAUGCGUAGAUAUUAGGAGGAACACCAGUGGCGAAGGCGGCUUACUGGACUGUAACUGACACUGAGGCACGAAAGCGUGGGGAGCAAACAGGAUUAGAUACCCUAGUA
RNAcentral lists this ribosomal RNA (445 nucleotides) under uncultured bacterium. RNAcentral describes it as "bacterial SSU rRNA". It matches the Rfam family "Bacterial small subunit ribosomal RNA", at positions 330 to 792 of the family's 1533-position model. The record is from RNAcentral.